RNAcentral lists this ribosomal RNA (393 nucleotides) under uncultured bacterium. RNAcentral describes it as "bacterial SSU rRNA". It matches the Rfam family "Bacterial small subunit ribosomal RNA", at positions 413 to 796 of the family's 1533-position model. The record is from RNAcentral.
GGCCUUCGGGUUGUAAACUGCUUUUGUACGGAACGAAAAGGCCCUGGUGAACAACCGGGGUUGCUGACGGUACCGUAAGAAUAAGCACCGGCUAACUACGUGCCAGCAGCCGCGGUAAUACGUAGGGUGCGAGCGUUAAUCGGAAUUACUGGGCGUAAAGCGUGCGCAGGCGGACAUGCAAGACAGAUGUGAAAUCCCCGGGCUCAACCUGGGAACUGCAUAUGUGACUGUAUGACUGGAGUACCGGCAGAGGGGGAUGGAAUUCCGCGUGUAGCAGUGAAAUGCGUAGAUAUGCCGGAGGAACACCGAUGGCGAAGGCAAUCCCCUGGGCCAGUACUGACGCUCAUGCACGAAAGCGUGGGGAGCAAACAGGAUUAGAUACCCUGGUAGUCC